Molecule: transfer RNA, 72 nt
Filed under: Camelus bactrianus (Bactrian camel)
Lineage: Eukaryota; Metazoa; Chordata; Mammalia; Artiodactyla; Camelidae
Also listed under: 2 other names
Rfam family: tRNA
About the family: Transfer RNA (tRNA) molecules are approximately 80 nucleotides in length. Their secondary structure includes four short double-helical elements and three loops (D, anti-codon, and T loops). Further hydrogen bonds mediate the characteristic L-shaped molecular structure. tRNAs have two regions of fundamental functional importance: the anti-codon, which is responsible for specific mRNA codon recognition, and the 3' end, to which the tRNAs corresponding amino acid is attached (by aminoacyl-tRNA synthetases). tRNAs cope with the degeneracy of the genetic code in two manners: having more than one tRNA (with a specific anti-codon) for a particular amino acid; and 'wobble' base-pairing, i.e. permitting non-standard base-pairing at the 3rd anti-codon position.
Source: Rfam by way of RNAcentral
GACGGUGUAGCUCAGUGGUAGAGUGCAUGCUUACCAUGUGUGAAGUCCUGGGUUUAAUCCCCAGUACUUCCA